GACCCCGCACAAGCGGCGGAGCAUGCGGCUUAAUUCGAUGAUACCCGUAGAACCUUACCUGGACUUGACAUAUAGGGAAAAACUAAAGAAAUUUAGUGUGCGUAAGCGCCCUAUACAGGUGGUGCAUGGCUGUCGUCAGCUCGUGUCGUGAGAUGUUGGGUUAAGUCCCGCAACGAGCGCAACCCACGUCUUUAGUUGCCAGCAUUUAGUUGGGCACUCUAGAGAGACUGCCGGUGAUAAACCGGAGGAAGGUGUGGAUGACGUCAAGUCAUCAUGCCCCUUACAUCCUGGGCUGCACGCAUGCUACAAUGGCAAGUACAACGAGUCGCAAUACCGCGAGGUGGAGCAAAUCUCUUAAAGCUUGUCUCAGUUCGGAUAGGAGUCUGCAACUCGACUCCUUGAAGUUGGAGUCGCUAGUAA
Molecule: ribosomal RNA, 420 nt
Filed under: uncultured bacterium
Lineage: Bacteria
Description: bacterial SSU rRNA
Rfam family: Bacterial small subunit ribosomal RNA
Source: RNAcentral